UAGUGGGAAGCGACCAGCCGGGCUGGAAACCCACACUUCCCAGUCCAAGCCCAGCACCCAGGAGCCGGGACCACAAGGGGCCCCACUCAGUAAAAUGAGGCUGGAUGAAGUGACUGCUGGCUGGAACACACCAACUCCAGGCCGAAGGAGGGAAGAUUGGUGGCGCAGCUCCUGGAACUGUCCCUGGGGGUACGGAGUGAGGAUCCCCACUUCUGUGAGCCCCAUGUCCCAGGCACGUGAGCAGGAAGUGGGUCGGAAGCAGAGAAGCUGGGACUUGAAGUGGCAUUCUGGCAUGGAACGCCAGCAUCCCAGGCAGCAGCUCACCCCGCUGCACCGCAUGGCCCGUCCUGCACGGUUAUUAUCUGGCUGGUAAUCGGCAGACCUUGAACCUGAACCCAGGCAGUGUGGCUCCACCACCCGCAAGCCUCGAGUCACCUCCUUGCCCCAAGGUCUAUAAAUAGCUAAUUGCAGCCCUGGCUGGAGAUGCCGUCCUGGGAGGGCCUCGCUGAGCUGCUGGCCCCUUUAAUUCAUUCAGUCCAAGAACCUUUAGACUGAGAAGCAAACACAGAGCUUCGCCCGUGCUCUCGGGGAAGCUUCUGAUAGAGACAUGUUAUUCAAACUGCCGUACUCAAAAUAGCUCCAGUGAACAGAUUCUCGCUGUGAACAUCGUAACCACAGGGAUUCCUGGUAAAGGCGGAGAGCGGCUGCUUCCAGGGGGGAGCGACGCUGGCGCUGGGACAGAAAACACGAGCGGCAGUUGAUCAUAUGAAGAGGAGAGGGAGAGGACUCUGGGCAGACGGAACAGCACGUGCAGAGUUCUGAGGUAGGGAGAGUGCUGAGCGCCAGGACUCUGGCCAGCUGACCUUGGCCGGCCCUCUAGGGCAUGGAGCCCACCUGUUAGGAUCCCACCACUCCUGUGUGGGGCCCUAU
Long non-coding RNA from Lepus europaeus (European hare), 930 nucleotides. RefSeq lists it as uncharacterized. The transcript is spliced from 3 exons. NCBI's taxonomy places the organism in Eukaryota, Metazoa, Chordata, Mammalia, Lagomorpha, Leporidae. The record is from RefSeq and is a predicted model, not a curated record.